UUGAGUUUUAAGAACAAUGAAGAGUACCACGCGUUGUGGCCGCCAUUAGAGUUGGCUAUGCUUAAUUGUGGCGCAGAAAUAAUUGAAGCCUCGUUGAAAGUAUGGUGCAUGUGCCCGGCAUCACAACAUGGCUUGUCACAGCUUAUCUGUGAAAAAUUCGGAAUUGGUGUCUGGGAGCUUCCUUCUACUGGCAUGGUGUCAAUCGUUGCCUGCCAACAGCAUGGUAUCUUUUUCUAAAAUCGACAUUUCUAUGCUAAUUUCACCGUUUUCUAUUUCAAGUGAACAAUGUCUUGGGAGCCAAGUAAAUGGUCAGCUUGUGUAGGACUGAGCAGCCGAAAGCUGUGCGUAGAGAAACAAUAAGGGUUUCAGCAAAAGGAGGAGAAAUAUAUUCAAAGAUACUCAGAAUCAUGCUAUAGGAGUCGGGACCUAACAAAUGCUGUGUUGUGUAGUGAGCAUUCUGCAGCGAAAGUAGAUUCAACAAAAGACUUGAUAAAUGCAACAAUUGAAAAUCAGAUGGUUGGUGGAAUCCUUUGUUUGGUCAACAACAGACUGCCAAGUAGUCAGUGUGAGUCAACCUUGCUGCUGGAGCAUAAAUGUUAGGGGACACAAAGAAGAUGUUGGAAAAUAACUGCUUGUGGGUGAUGAGGCCAAAAAAAAGAAAAUUUAUUGUUUGGGAUAAUUAAAAAUGGAGCAGAGAACUAUCCCAAGUUGGGAUUUGGAAAUAGGAACACAUUAUGACCCAGGAUUGUGACAUAGUCGGUGUUCAAUCCGCGUGUUUUCCCCAAUGGUCAGAGUCUAGUUGGAAGGGUUAGAAACAGAAUUGGAGAUGAGCAAGACCAAAUACUAAUGAAACAUACCAUGAAGUAUACCAAGUACGUAAUAUAUAUGGUGUACUUCAUCGGCAAAGGAAGAAAAUUGUAAAACAUUACCGCCAUCUAGCAUAUGGGAGAAGCAAUAUGUAGAUUAUUUGAGGAAGCACCAUGUAAAAUUUUGCAAUUGGAGCCCAAAUUACUCUACGGAAAAUACGAAAAGAGGUGGGGAAUGUAGGAUGGAUAAAAGUGUUUUUCCCAGUCGUAAGAUGGUGGUACUGUGCCAUACAGUACUAAGAACUGCCGCCAUAACGUUACCCAUCUUCUCAGGUUGGAGAAGUAACAAGUCCAUUAUUAUGCCAUGCUGUUCCAGGAAUGUCUGCCAAACAGAUUAAUCCACCCCUGGAUGUUAUAAAGUACAGUGUAGCUGUGUUUCAAAGAGAGCAUACGUGAUCAAAAGACAAGGAAAUAGAAAGCUGGGGAAGACAAACAUUUUGUCAACAAGGUUUUCAUAGCUAGCAGACCGAUUAUUAUAUGGGUCAAAUCCAAUAAUCUACGAGUCGCAGAUGAACGACUACGUGCAGAAUUAAGUAAGGG
This is a long non-coding RNA of Daphnia carinata, 1406 nucleotides long. RefSeq lists it as uncharacterized. Lineage: Eukaryota; Metazoa; Arthropoda; Branchiopoda; Diplostraca; Daphniidae. The transcript is spliced from 7 exons. The record is from RefSeq and is a predicted model, not a curated record.